This 281-nucleotide long non-coding RNA is filed under the name Nicotiana benthamiana. RNAcentral describes it as "long non-coding RNA (NBEN_LNC032497)". The record is from RNAcentral. Lineage: Eukaryota; Viridiplantae; Streptophyta; Magnoliopsida; Solanales; Solanaceae.
UUUGAAGGAAAGCAAAAACAACGGAUCUAAAAACCUCCCCCCUCCCCCUCGUUCAGAGCUUUCUUGAGAAAAACACCCAAAAUAAAAAACUCCUCCAUUCCUUUUAAAUUCACAAGAAAAUAACGGGACUCUUCACCAGAGAAGAAGAAGAAAGCUUUCCCUCCUUUCCAUCUCAUCUACUCGUCUUUCCUUGUCUGUGACAAAUCGUGGAUCUGGCCGGAAGUGACAUUAAAUUCGGCAAUCCAUGGAGGAUCUAGUCAAACUCCACGAGAUGAAACGAA